UCAAGGCAGGGGGUUAGAGCCUCCUGCGACAGCCCUGUUCGGCGGUGGAUGGCUUCAUUUGUAACUUUCGGAAACUUCGACACAUGGUGUCCGCUGGUUAAGCGUGCGCGCACCUGGGCAGUGAGCUGGGCCACGCCACCUGCAGGCAGCUCUCAGCUUCCCGGAGUUCCCACCUCAUUCCGGCAUCUGUCUUCCCGGGAACCUCCACCCAGUUUUACAGAUGGGGUCCAACCUGAGACUUUGGGAAAGGAGUCAACUGUAAAAGAUGCUUGAAUUCCACUCAUCUACUUUACGCCGGCUCAGGAAGAAGAAACGGUACCUUCUGCCUCAACGUUGUGAGUUCCCAGGCUCCUUGAAUGUUCACGUACCUGAGAGAUUUUUCUCACUUCUUUCUCAUAUCGCAGAAGGAUCAUUACUGAUGACUAAAGUGAUGUUUACAUUUUAAAAGUCAAGCUACUUUUAAGGAACCACAGAAAUGCAUGCUAGGAUUCGCUUUAGAUUUUCUAUUUCUUCUAUUGAUAGCAAGGAUCGGGACAGGCUAGCAAGUGCUUUUCAUUUUAUUGGGCCUUUUUAGCAGUAUUUAAUUUUUAAAACUAAGCGUGCAUUGCUUUUAAAAAGCAGUUGAAUAAAGAUGUAUGUUCAGAACUUGAAAUACAUAAAAAAGUGAAAUGAAAAUAAGAUUGUGAUCCCACUACUUAAAGAAUCACCAUCGUUAAAACUCGGACGCGUUUCUUUCUAUCCUAUUCGUUCGCUGUUUCUAAUGCUUAUGGAGUGUUUAGUCACACAUGCACCCACGCGCACACAACCCUCGGCUCCUCUUUUGUUCACUCAACAUAAGGGGACCAUGCCCCACGUUAUUAAAAUAUUUUUAAAAAUACGUGCGUGUCGUUACAUGUGUUCUGUGUCACACACACGUUAACAAUGUGAAGACGAAAGAAGAACAUCAAAAAUCAAAGUGCUCUCACGUCCCCUGGCACAUGUGAUUUUAUGACCCCGUGUGAGGAGCAGGCCGGGAAGUGUUUCCAACUUCCAGCUGGGAGUGCAGAGCUCAGAGACGGGAAGGGACUCAGAGCUGGUUCAGACCACAGGCCAGGGUGCUGCCGCCGGCAGAGUGGCCCGGGCAUGAUAACGAGGCUAGGAUUUGCUGGGCCUGAAACUUGUAUCAUUUUAGGGGUUCUCCUUUUUUUUUUAGAGACAGAGUCUCACUCUGUUGCCCCAGGCUAGAGUGC
Non-coding RNA from Microcebus murinus (gray mouse lemur), 1229 nucleotides. The record is from RefSeq and is a predicted model, not a curated record. NCBI's taxonomy places the organism in Eukaryota, Metazoa, Chordata, Mammalia, Primates, Cheirogaleidae.